Molecule: non-coding RNA, 1672 nt
Organism: Tetranychus urticae (two-spotted spider mite)
Lineage: Eukaryota; Metazoa; Arthropoda; Arachnida; Trombidiformes; Tetranychidae
Source: RefSeq, a predicted model, not a curated record
GGCUGAGAAAGCCAAAAGUGAAGCGCUGAUCAUCAAUGACGACGCUUGACAUAAAUAUUGGCGUGCAAUCAUACAAUCGACACUAUUUUUAACAACAAUCAGGCCAAAGGCAACAGUACCAAGAACAAUUCCAAGGCCCAGAAAUGUUUGUAAACCUAAAAGUGCAGAAUAAGCCAUUCCUGCCUUUUCACCAUGAUAAGCCUGAAAACAAAAGAUUGAAAGCAAAACAACAAACCCAAUUAGUCAAUUAAUUGAUCUUAAUUAUUUCAUCAUAAUCAGACAGGUGAAACAUUAGGUGACGCUGAUGAUUAGUAAACUGAACCUCGACAUUAUUUAAAAGAGCGUAUUUGAUUAACUUUAAUUGGAGUAGAAGAAAGUCUGAAAAGAUGAGCUUUCUCCUUAAUUAAAGCCAAUUCAUUAUUAAACCGAUUCUCGGUUAAUUAGACAAAUUCAAACAACACCAGAAGCAACGACAAAAACAAAAUCAACACUUGCGCCAACUAUUAAUAAUUGUAAAUGUUAAACGAGUUGUAUAACGCAUUGGAAGCUGCUACAUGAAUCUUGAAUUUUUUCAUCUUCAUAUUACAAUAGACGAUAGUAGAUAAAGAUUAUUUUGAGCUUUCAAUUUGGUUUUACUUUGUUGGCUCCUUUAAUUAACAGUUAAACUCAACCGAGCAAUCAAGACAAACACACAGCACACGCUUUCACCUUACAUAACCUUGAUCGACUGAACAUAUUGGAUAAGAUGAAAACAAUAAUGAACGGUAAAGAUGAUGGCAAAGAUGGUGGCAAACGCUGUGUACAAAGAAUGCUAACUGAAAGCCUGAUGAAUGUCUAAAGGUCAUGGCUUAAUCAUCACCACCAUUAUCAUCAUCUUUUACAUGUGCACAGUUAAAGGGCAAUUUUGCUGUCUAUCAUUUACAGUCUUAUCAACAGUCGAUCGAAGUGCCGCGUGUCAAUACACAUUCACCUGUCUCAAGAUCAAUUUAUUUCGGAAUUAUGCAAAUAAUAUCAUUUUGUUUGCUUCUGCUAAUUACAUCUUUUGUCCUGAUCACCUUUAUCUUGAGCAUCUUUUUUGUCAAGUUUAUCAAUUGAUUUUCACCAAUCAGCAAAACUAAAUGAAGCACUUUUGAAAGCUGAGCGCCAUUUGACUUUUUAAACCAGUUAACCUGCCAAACGUUUGUCUAAACAUUCAAUUGAUUAAACUCUUUCAACUGAUUAACUAUCGAGAAAUGAUCGGACAAUUUAAUUGCUUGGAAAAGACAAAAACCUUUCAACUAUUGAAUCUUAAAUUGCAAAGACGCUAAAGGCUUGUAUAAUUUCAAAAUGAAAUGUAAAGUUUAUGCAAAUCAAGGCAAACAACAGAAUCUCAAUCAAAGUUUAAUUAAAAGCUGUCACUAAUUUGCUGAACUUUGAUUAACUAAUUGAUAUCCUAUCGAAUAGCUUUAAAUGUAAUGAAGUAAACAUUGACAUUAAAUGUACAAUUCAAAGUGAAUUUAAGUUGACAAACACAAGUUGAAAUUAAUUUAAAUCCAAUGUUGGAAAAGAAUCGCAUCAAUCUCAAAUAGCAUCAUUAAUGACAAUUUAAACACUUUUACAACUAUUAAUCUAUGAAAAUAAAACUUGAAAUUAUCAUUUGUCAUGAGAACAAAGCAUUUUCUUCUCAAUCGAA